CUUUCUUCUGCAAGCCCCAAAACUUACUUUGACAGUCACAUUCCUGUGAAUACACCAACAUAUUUUGUGAUCUUUAACUGGAAGACAGUGGCUGAGAGACGUUUUUGUUUUCAUUUUUAACCUUUAUUUUUUUUGUCUUUCUAAUUCCAGACUUUCUUAUAUAUUCUUAAAAAUUCAAAAGUAUUGCCACCAACAAAAAUCACCUUAAGUCCCAACAGCCAGAGAGAACCAUUGUUUGAUGUUUAUAUUUCUCCAUACUUAAUGGUGUGUGUGCACAACGGGAAAUGGUUGGUGCUUCCCUCAAAGGCAGAGAAAUUGCCAGUCACAAGAACAUAAAAAAAUCAAACAGCAAGCCAUAUAGAUAUGUAAAAUUAUAAUUUUUUGGCUUAGGUUAAGGACUAUAAGAUGUCUAUAUUGGUCUAUUUAAAUUUGGUGUUUGGAAUUAAAUAUAAGAACAUGUUUCAUGUGUUUUUUUUAACAUACUUUUUUUUGUAUUAGUGUUUUUGGAGCAAAACAUUUUGUUCAUUGCACAUGUCCAAAUCAAAAUGUACAUUGAACUAGAAUUUGCUCAGCUAGCAACAGCAUUCAGAUACACUGAACAUAGUUCAUCAGUGGUGCUAACAUUCUCAAGGAAAGCUGAUACCUAGGCCCAUGAGACCAUUGGUGAGCCAAGGCUGUUGAGAACAGUUGAAGCCAGUCUACAUCAUGACACACCUCUCCUGAAUGCUGUCACCUCUUCAUUUUCUGCAGUUGCCCUUGGGUGCUUGAUUCUGAGAGAAAGGGACAUGCAGCCAUGGUCUUAUUUAACCCUGCUUUCCCUUUCUGAGUCAUUAUCUCUAGCUGGAAGUGAACCCAUUCCCUCCAACCCGAGGCCUCUUUAGAUCUUAUUCAGGUUUCUUCCAUCUAUGGCUUAGAGUACAACUCAUGUUCAGUCCUCCAAUGUUGUUCUUGCUGUGUGAAGGGAACUCUUAGAGCUCCCUCUUACUUGACACAGCUUGCCUUUAAACACUGGUUGUACACGUUGGCAGCCCAUGCACAGAAAAGAGAUGAGUGCAGAGACUCAUUGCUGCUCAAGGUGUUGAGAGGUGUCAUGUGCUUAGACCUAAAGAAAACAUUUACACCCACCCUAAGACUGAACAUGCUGAAAGAGGGAG
RNAcentral lists this long non-coding RNA (1154 nucleotides) under Cricetulus griseus (Chinese hamster). Its description in RNAcentral is "lncRNA (ENSCGRG00015032669.1)". Lineage: Eukaryota; Metazoa; Chordata; Mammalia; Rodentia; Cricetidae. The record is from RNAcentral.